UUGGCUGUUGUAUCCUAACGGCGACGUCGGCGUGGGAUGCUCUGACCUGACCAAAACAUUAGUACAAAAAAAAAAGCAUAGCGCUGGCGAUGGAGCAUAAUUUUUACAGACGGUUUUAAUUAAAGAACGCAUAUAGGAAGAAAUCAGCUUGUCCGACUAAAAAACCGCAUGUAAGAAUCAUGUGUUUCUACAAGCGACUAUCCUAAGAAGCCGCAAGUGAAAAUCAUAUUUCUAUGCAGUUUUUUGCCUGUAGAAAUAAUUUGAAAUUAAAUUUUUGAGCUUUUCAAAUGACAUCAUUUGAAAAAACCGUCAAAAUGAAAGUUGUAGAGCUUGAGAAGUUACGAAACUUUGUAGUUGAUAAGUUUUUUUAUUUGAAAUCAUCUUGUCGUCAAAAACUACGUUUGAAUUUCUCAAAUUUGAAAUUCAAAUUUUGUAAAUGACCUUGGAUGGAGAAACUACCAAUAUAAAAGUUGUAGAUCUUGAAAAAUUGUGAAACUUUGUACUUGACAACUUUUGGUAUAAAUUAACUGCACUCUAUUAAAUAAGUUUUAAGUAGGAUUAUCCGCAAGCGCACAGAUUUUACCCGGAGGUUUUAAAUAUCGUAUCCACAUGGAACAGCUGUGAUGAUGACCAAGUAUACAGACUUAACACUACAAUUAGGCUAGAUCAUAUCAAGAAAAAGGAAAUAGCUAAUGCACUCUGGUUCUGAUUCCGAUAAACUUUGUAUAAUAUCGUCUUAUUGGGCAAGUAACCCGAAUAGGAGAAGAAACAGAGUAAUCUCCUACGAGACAAGCCUAUCAGUCCUAUCAACGGGAAGUGGACUACAGUGGAAUCAUCGCAGCUAUAAAGUUACCUACGCAAGCUACCACUAUCCGGCUGAUCAGGGGACAUCCACAGGUAAACCUAGCCUAGGCACCACGCCUACCCUACAAAAUACUACUUCAACCAAGAAAUUACUAAAAUCAAAGCACUAUAUAUGAGUUGUGAACCAAAGAACGAAUAAGAACAAGUUGCUUACUUAAAUCGGUAUGGUAAGUACAACUCAGAAUGUAGCUCCGGGCGAGGGAACUGGAUCCAGACGAAUACAGCCACGAAGAAGCACCGACAUGCCGGAACUCCUCCAGAAUCUCUACUCCUCUACUCAAUCUCUCUAAUAUCUAACCAAGACUAGAUCUAGAAGAACUAGUCUCUCCUAAUUGCUACAUCUAGAUGAACUAGAUCUAGAUGAACUAGAACUAGAUCAACUAGAGGGACCCUAACCCUAAUUAUGUAGAGAAUAUGAAGCACCGGGCUGUAGAAUGCCUCUUGGGGAGCCUUGGAUGUCAUUAUAUAGGCCGAGGUGGAGUAGGGGGCAAGGAAUCGCCACGUCAGCGAUCCGCGUCUUCAUCUUGUGUGCACCAUCGGAUCAAACCGACUUAAAAUCGACGGAGGGAUACUUUGCUUGGCUUCCAAGGAGGCGUGGGAGGAAGACUGCAGAAGGCGCCGGGCAUCGGGCGAAAUAGGGCGCCGCCUGGCCCCACCUUGUUUCUUCUGUGGGUAUCGUUCCUUCGGGUGUCUUCUAGACCCUUUGUAGGUCUUCUAAUGAUGCUUUCCGCCGCGCAUGAGUUUCGUGGUAAAUAUGCACUAGAAUCCCUCUUUUCAGCUCUGUGUGAAAUAAAUCCUGAAAAAUACAGAAUAUAUAAAACUUGUGGAAAUUGUCAGAUAAAACUCUAGACUAAUGUGUUUUCAUGUGUUCCCUUGUGUCUAAAGUUCUAAUAAAUAUUGACGUUAUCGACCGUCAACAACAACUUUUCCAUUGGAAUCCGUUUAGGGCCUCAAACAAUCAAUGUAUGCUGGGGGAACUAAACUUUACUAUAGACACAACUGAGUGUUAGGUGGAGUGGUAUAGGAGGCUACGCGCGAGGGCGAGGUCUCAGGUUAGAAUCGAAAAAAUUUAUUUCCACAGUCCACUAGCACAGGUGGUUCGCCAAACCGUCACAAGAACUAUAUUCUUUUCAACGCACAUGACCUAACAAUUUCUAAACACUAGCAGACCUGGAUUGCUUAGAAUUAACAUGUUGCUGCUAAAAGAAAUAAGUAAAAUCCUAUUUAUAUCCGGAGCUAAUGGUUUGGCAAUAGGGUCUACACCUAGCUAAGAAUGAGUGCUUAGCUAGUUAUGUUUACCUAAUACAAAUCAUAGUUAAGAAUGAGUGCUUAGCUAGUUAUGUUUACCUAAUACAAAUCAUAGUUAGCUGAGGGAAACCGGAUAAAACAUUAACACCGGAAAUUUAUUGCUGCUGACAUGAUUUGUUUUUCUCUAAUAUCUCAUAUAACAGAUAAUCUGUAUCUGCCAAGCAUAUGCUGCACUAAGGGAUGGAAGAGAAAUGAGAUGAUGCAUGAUAUUUAAAGUGGCUUGCUAGGUCGAAAAAAUGUGACGCGUGAAUCAUAAAACUGUGAUGAUUUGCCAUAUGAGUGAGUCUUUAAAAAAUCGUAAAAGAAACUAGUCUGACACAGGUGAGAAAUACAUCCUCAUGCCUAUAGUUUCCGCGCGGC
This 2532-nucleotide long non-coding RNA is filed under the name Sorghum bicolor (sorghum). RNAcentral describes it as "long non-coding RNA (SBIC_LNC009680)". Lineage: Eukaryota; Viridiplantae; Streptophyta; Magnoliopsida; Poales; Poaceae. The record is from RNAcentral.